AUAAAGGCGUUGAUGAAAGAAAAGUAAUUGUGACGGACCAUUUUUCAGAAAGACUUCUCAUGGCUGAAAGGGAGUCAAUGGUACGAACAAUGAAGUUCACUUUCGGAGCUGGCCUUGGGAGUCGCAAGAUGAAAAAGGUACCGGCAGUUUUGUCGUUAACGAAAUGAAGUGCACGGCUUAUUUAGCUGUGAACUAGGGUGGUACCGCGAGAACCUCGUCCCUUUU
RNAcentral lists this non-coding RNA (225 nucleotides) under Lactobacillus selangorensis. Its description in RNAcentral is "T-box sequence". It matches the Rfam family "T-box leader". From Rfam's summary of the family: Uncharged tRNA acts as the effector for transcription antitermination of genes in the T-box leader family. T-boxes are found upstream of many aminoacyl-tRNA synthetase genes and some amino acid biosynthetic genes usually in Gram-positive bacteria. The anticodon of a specific tRNA base pairs to a specifier sequence within the T-box motif, and the NCCA acceptor tail of the tRNA base pairs to a conserved bulge in the T-box antiterminator hairpin. The record is from RNAcentral. Lineage: Bacteria; Bacillati; Bacillota; Bacilli; Lactobacillales; Lactobacillaceae.